This 76-nucleotide transfer RNA is filed under the name bacterium. RNAcentral's name for it is "tRNA-His". It matches the Rfam family "tRNA". From Rfam's summary of the family: Transfer RNA (tRNA) molecules are approximately 80 nucleotides in length. Their secondary structure includes four short double-helical elements and three loops (D, anti-codon, and T loops). The record is from RNAcentral.
GUAGAUGUAGCUCAGCUGGUAGAGCACCAGAUUGUGGCUCUGGUGGCCGUGGGUUCGAUCCCCACCAUCUACCCCA